GACGUCCUACCGGAGGCAGCAGUGAGGAAUAUUGGUCAAUGGGCGGGAGCCUGAACCAGCCAAGCCGCGUGAGGGAAGAAGGUACAGCGUAUCGUGAACCUCUUUUGUCAGGGAACAAAGGCGGGGACUGGUCCCCGGAUGAGGGUACCUGAAGAAAAAGCAUCGGCUGACUCCGUGCCAGCAGCCGCGGUAAUACGGAGGAUGCGAGCGUUAUCCGGAUUUAUUGGGUUUAAAGGGUGCGCAGGCGGCCUGUUAAGUCAGCGGUAAAAGCCCGGGGCUCAACCCCGGCGAGCCGUUGAAACUGG
This 305-nucleotide ribosomal RNA is filed under the name uncultured bacterium. Its description in RNAcentral is "bacterial SSU rRNA". It matches the Rfam family "Bacterial small subunit ribosomal RNA", at positions 334 to 636 of the family's 1533-position model. The record is from RNAcentral.